UGUAUCUGAAGUCUGACGAGGAUGAGAACCUCCGGGGGCAAGAGGUUCGACCCGAGCGAAGCGAGAGAACGUUGCGUCAGCAACGGCCCGCAGGGCGAGCCACCCUCUAUCACCGGCAG
This 119-nucleotide small RNA is filed under the name Salmonella enterica subsp. enterica serovar Infantis. RNAcentral describes it as "RtT sRNA". It matches the Rfam family "RtT RNA". Rfam says of the family: This family represents a bacterial cis-regulatory element known as RtT RNA. The exact function of RtT is unknown although it is thought that it may be involved in changing the cellular response in relation to amino acid starvation. The record is from RNAcentral. Lineage: Bacteria; Pseudomonadati; Pseudomonadota; Gammaproteobacteria; Enterobacterales; Enterobacteriaceae. RNAcentral also lists the same sequence under 10 other names.